UGAGUUGAUGAAUGUGAAAGCACUUU
Molecule: non-coding RNA, 26 nt
Filed under: Homo sapiens (human)
Lineage: Eukaryota; Metazoa; Chordata; Mammalia; Primates; Hominidae
Source: RNAcentral